Long non-coding RNA from Perognathus longimembris pacificus (Pacific pocket mouse), 732 nucleotides. RefSeq lists it as uncharacterized. The transcript has 2 exons. The record is from RefSeq and is a predicted model, not a curated record. Lineage: Eukaryota; Metazoa; Chordata; Mammalia; Rodentia; Heteromyidae.
GGCCCGGCCUCCCUGGGAGCCGCCAUGGUGGCGCCUGAGCCCGGGGCGGGUCGAGGCGGCGUCGUCGCCCGGCGCGGCCGGCGGCCAUUCCCUCGGGGAGGCUGAAGCCCGGCGAGCCGACACCGGAGACCCGAGGCCCGCGGAGAGGCCUCAGCGGAUCGCCGUCCCGCCCCGCCCCGUGACCCGAGGCGAGGCCGAGAGAAGAAGCUGGCUACCUGGAAGCACCACUCCCUGCUUGGCACCUCUGGGUACUUACUUGAGCUGUCCCAUGAGGCAUUAUGACCUACUCGUGACCAGUGAGCACUUCAAAUGUGGCUGAUCUGAACUGAGAGGUGCUGUAACUGUCAAAGACAUACUGGGUGUGGACAUCUCUCCUUGGUCAUCUAAAAAUAUUGAUUACAAGUUAAAAUAAUAUUUUAGGUAUUUAAAAAUAGAAUCGAAUAACUAUUGAAAAACUUAGUGCUACUACCAGAAAAUGUGAAAUUAGAUUCACAUUCGAUUUCCAUUAGAGAAGACUGCUUUAGCCUCAGGGCAAUAUCUUUAUUGAUCAACAAUGGAAGAAUCUGACCUCCCCAUUUCCCUGGGUUGUUAACAGUCAUAUGAUGUCAUCCUUGUGAAAGAGCUCUGCAAAGUGCUACACAAAAUGUCAUAAUUUAAGAUGUUUAAUGCUCACUUGGGUCACCAAUUGUGAUAGCUGUUCUUAUAGGAUAGUAUAAAAUUUGUGGUGUUUUG